AGAGUUUGAUCAUGGCUCAGAUUGAACGCUGGCGGCAGGCCUAACACAUGCAAGUCGAACGGUAACAGGAAGCAGCUUGCUGUUUCGCUGACGAGUGGCGGACGGGUGAGUAAUGUCUGGGAAACUGCCUGAUGGAGGGGGAUAACUACUGGAAACGGUAGCUAAUACCGCAUAACGUCGCAAGACCAAAGAGGGGGACCUUCGGGCCUCUUGCCAUCGGAUGUGCCCAGAUGGGAUUAGCUUGUUGGUGGGGUAACGGCUCACCAAGGCGACGAUCCCUAGCUGGUCUGAGAGGAUGACCAGCCACACUGGAACUGAGACACGGUCCAGACUCCUACGGGAGGCAGCAGUGGGGAAUAUUGCACAAUGGGCGCAAGCCUGAUGCAGCCAUGCCGCGUGUAUGAAGAAGGCCUUCGGGUUGUAAAGUACUUUCAGCGGGGAGGAAGGGAGUAAAGUUAAUACCUUUGCUCAUUGACGUUACCCGCAGAAGAAGCACCGGCUAACUCCGUGCCAGCAGCCGCGGUAAUACGGAGGGUGCAAGCGUUAAUCGGAAUUACUGGGCGUAAAGCGCACGCAGGCGGUUUGUUAAGUCAGAUGUGAAAUCCCCGGGCUCAACCUGGGAACUGCAUCUGAUACUGGCAAGCUUGAGUCUCGUAGAGGGGGGUAGAAUUCCAGGUGUAGCGGUGAAAUGCGUAGAGAUCUGGAGGAAUACCGGUGGCGAAGGCGGCCCCCUGGACGAAGACUGACGCUCAGGUGCGAAAGCGUGGGGAGCAAACAGGAUUAGAUACCCUGGUAGUCCACGCCGUAAACGAUGUCGACUUGGAGGUUGUGCCCUUGAGGCGUGGCUUCCGGAGCUAACGCGUUAAGUCGACCGCCUGGGGAGUACGGCCGCAAGGUUAAAACUCAAAUGAAUUGACGGGGGCCCGCACAAGCGGUGGAGCAUGUGGUUUAAUUCGAUGCAACGCGAAGAACCUUACCUGGUCUUGACAUCCACAGAACUUUCCAGAGAUGGAUUGGUGCCUUCGGGAACUGUGAGACAGGUGCUGCAUGGCUGUCGUCAGCUCGUGUUGUGAAAUGUUGGGUUAAGUCCCGCAACGAGCGCAACCCUUAUCCUUUGUUGCCAGCGGUCCGGCCGGGAACUCAAAGGAGACUGCCAGUGAUAAACUGGAGGAAGGUGGGGAUGACGUCAAGUCAUCAUGGCCCUUACGACCAGGGCUACACACGUGCUACAAUGGCGCAUACAAAGAGAAGCGACCUCGCGAGAGCAAGCGGACCUCAUAAAGUGCGUCGUAGUCCGGAUUGGAGUCUGCAACUCGACUCCAUGAAGUCGGAAUCGCUAGUAAUCGUGGAUCAGAAUGCCACGGUGAAUACGUUCCCGGGCCUUGUACACACCGCCCGUCACACCAUGGGAGUGGGUUGCAAAAGAAGUAGGUAGCUUAACCUUCGGGAGGGCGCUUACCACUUUGUGAUUCAUGACUGGGGUGAAGUCGUAACAAGGUAACCGUAGGGGAACCUGCGGUUGGAUCACCU
Molecule: ribosomal RNA, 1530 nt
Filed under: Escherichia coli
Lineage: Bacteria; Pseudomonadati; Pseudomonadota; Gammaproteobacteria; Enterobacterales; Enterobacteriaceae
Also listed under: 1 other name
Description: bacterial SSU rRNA
Rfam family: Bacterial small subunit ribosomal RNA
Source: RNAcentral